GACGAACGCUGGCGGCGUGCUUAACACAUGCAAGUCGAACGGAAAGGCCUUUUCGGAGGUACUCGAGUGGCGAACGGGUGAGUAACACGUGGGUGAUCUGCCCUGCACUCUGGGAUAAGCCUGGGAAACUGGGUCUAAUACCGGAUAGGACCGCACUUUAGUGUGUGUGGUGGAAAGUUUUUUCGGUGUAGGAUGAGCCCGCGGCCUAUCAGCUUGUUGGUGGGGUAAUGGCCUACCAAGGCGGCGACGGGUAGCCGGACUGAGAGGUUGGUCGGCCACAUUGGGACUGAGAGACGGCCCAGACUCCUACGGGAGGCAGCAGUGGGGAAGAUUGCACAAUGGGCGCAAGCCUGAUGCAGCGACGCCGCGUGGGGGAUGACGGCCUUCGGGUUGUAAACUCCUUUCGCCAGGGACGAAGCGUUUUGUGACGGUACCUGGAGAAGAAGCACCGGCUAACUACGUG
RNAcentral lists this ribosomal RNA (463 nucleotides) under uncultured bacterium. Its description in RNAcentral is "partial 16S ribosomal RNA". It matches the Rfam family "Bacterial small subunit ribosomal RNA", at positions 28 to 507 of the family's 1533-position model. The record is from RNAcentral.